AGUGAACGCUGGCGGUAGGCCUAACACAUGCAAGUCGAACGGCAGCACAGUAAGAGCUUGCUCUUACGGGUGGCGAGUGGCGGACGGGUGAGGAAUACAUCGGAAUCUACUUUUUCGUGGGGGAUAACGUAGGGAAACUUACGCUAAUACCGCAUACGACCUACGGGUGAAAGCAGGGGAUCUUCGGACCUUGCGCGAUUGAAUGAGCCGAUGUCGGAUUAGCUAGUUGGCGGGGUAAAGGCCCACCAAGGCGACGAUCCGUAGCUGGUCUGAGAGGAUGAUCAGCCACACUGGAACUGAGACACGGGCCAGACUCCUACGGGAGGCAGCAGUGGGGAAUAUUGGACAAUGGGCGCAAGCCUGAUCCAGCCCUACCGCGUGGGUGAAGAAGGCCUUCGGGUUGGAAAGCCCUUUUGUUGGGAAAGAAAAGCAGCAGGUUAAUACCCCGCUGUUCUGACGGUACCCAAAGAAUAAGCACCGGCUAACUUCGUG
RNAcentral lists this ribosomal RNA (492 nucleotides) under uncultured bacterium. RNAcentral's name for it is "partial 16S ribosomal RNA". It matches the Rfam family "Bacterial small subunit ribosomal RNA", at positions 29 to 507 of the family's 1533-position model. The record is from RNAcentral.